This is a non-coding RNA of Triticum aestivum (bread wheat), 115 nucleotides long. The record is from Rfam. NCBI's taxonomy places the organism in Eukaryota, Viridiplantae, Streptophyta, Magnoliopsida, Poales, Poaceae.
AUUGUACUCCCUCCGUUCCGAAUUACUUGUCAUACAUAUGGAUAUAUUUAGAUGUAUUUUAGUUCUAAAUACAUCCAUUUCUAUGACGAGUAAUUUGGAACGGAGGGAGUAGACG